This 429-nucleotide ribosomal RNA is filed under the name Bacteroidota bacterium. Its description in RNAcentral is "Bacteroidetes bacterium partial 16S ribosomal RNA". It matches the Rfam family "Bacterial small subunit ribosomal RNA", at positions 355 to 776 of the family's 1533-position model. The record is from RNAcentral. Lineage: Bacteria; Pseudomonadati; Bacteroidota.
UAGGGAAUCUUCGGCAAUGGGGGGAACCCUGACCGAGCAACGCCGCGUGAGUGAAGAAGGUUUUCGGAUCGUAAAGCUCUGUUGUUAAGGAAGAACGAGUGUGAGAAUGGAAAGUUCAUGCUGUGACGGUACUUAACCAGAAAGGGACGGCUAACUACGUGCCAGCAGCCGCGGUAAUACGUAGGUCCCGAGCGUUGUCCGGAUUUAUUGGGCGUAAAGCGAGCGCAGGCGGUUAGAUGAGUCUGAAGUUAAAGGCAGUGGCUCAACCAUUGUAGGCUUUGGAAACUGUUUAACUUGAGUGCAGAAGGGGAGAGUGGAAUUCCAUGUGUAGCGGUGAAAUGCGUAGAUAUAUGGAGGAACACCGGUGGCGAAAGCGGCUCUCUGGUCUGUAACUGACGCUGAGGCUCGAAAGCGUGGGGAGCGAACAGG